ACCGUAGGAGGCGAUCGUUAUCCGGAUUUACUGGGCGUAAAGCGCACGCAGGCGGUUCCGUUAGUCGGACGUGAAAGCUCCUGGCUUAACUGGGAGAGGCCAUUCGAUACUGCGGGACUUGAGGUUGGGAGAGGAGUGUGGAAUUCCCGGUGUAGUGGUGGAAUGCGUAGAGAUCGGGAGGAACACCUGUGGCGAAAGCGGCACUCUGGCCCACACCUGACGCUGAGGUGCGAAAGCGUGGGUAGAAAACAGG
This 253-nucleotide ribosomal RNA is filed under the name uncultured bacterium. Its description in RNAcentral is "partial 16S ribosomal RNA". It matches the Rfam family "Bacterial small subunit ribosomal RNA", at positions 524 to 776 of the family's 1533-position model. The record is from RNAcentral.